This 23-nucleotide microRNA is filed under the name Solanum lycopersicum (tomato). RNAcentral describes it as "sly-miR10531". The record is from miRBase by way of RNAcentral. Lineage: Eukaryota; Viridiplantae; Streptophyta; Magnoliopsida; Solanales; Solanaceae.
UGGGGUCCUAGUAGAGUCGGUUC